Molecule: ribosomal RNA, 1302 nt
Filed under: Carabus sp.
Lineage: Eukaryota; Metazoa; Arthropoda; Insecta; Coleoptera; Carabidae
Description: 16S ribosomal RNA
Rfam family: Archaeal large subunit ribosomal RNA (bases 1049-1208)
Source: RNAcentral
UUUUAAUUUAAUAAAAAUAAUUUUAAUAGUUUAUAUUUUUAGUAGAGUUUAUAGAAAAAAUUAAUUUAGUUAUAGUUUAAUUGUAUUGUAAAAGAUUAUUGAAAUAAAAUUUUAUUUUAAAAAAGUAUAAUUUAAUUUUAGUACCUUGUGUAUCAGGGUUUAUUAAAUAAAUGUUAUAAAUUUUAAUUUUCUCGAAUUUAAGAGAGCUAAUAAAUUAUUUUUUUUAUUGUAAAAAAAAUAUUUAUAAUAAUUUAUUGGUAAUGAGAUGUUAUUCGUUCUUAAAUAUAUCUAGUUUAUUUAGAAAUGAAUUUAAUUCAGAUGUUAUUAUUUUAAUAAUUUAAUUUUUUAAAUUAUUAAAUUUAUUAAUAUUAAUAAUUAAAGGGAUUAGCUUUUAAUUAAAAAUUUAAAAAUUAAUAAAAUAUUUUAAGAAAUGUAGAUUUAGAAAUAGUCAUCAAUAAUAAUUUGUUAUAAUUAAUUUAUAUAAAAAUAUUAUUUUAUAUAAUUUUAAAUUUUUUAUAAAUAAAUAAUUUUUAAUUUUAAAAAUUUAGAUAUAAUGAUAGAAUUAGUAUAUAUUUGAUUUAUUUAAAUAAUAGUUUUUUAAAGAUUAUUUAAAGGAAUUCGGCAAAAUUUUUACUCGCCUGUUUAACAAAAACAUGUCCUUUUGUAUUUUAUUUAAGGUCUAGUCUGCCCACUGAAUUUAAAUUUUAAAUGGCCGCAGUAUUUUGACUGUGCAAAGGUAGCAUAAUCAUUAGUUUUUUAAUUAAAAGCUUGUAUGAAAGGCUGGACGAAGUAAAAUCUGUCUCUAUUUAAAUUAUAGUAGAAUUUAACUUUUAAGUUAAAAGGCUUAAAUAUGAUUAAAAGACGAGAAGACCCUAUAGAUCUUUAUAAUUUAUUAAUUAAAAUUAAUUUAGAAUUAUUUAUAUUUUAUUUGAUUAAAUUAUUUUAUUGGGGUAAUAUAAAGAUUGAAUUAAUUCUUUUUUUUAUAAACAUUAAUUUAUGAAUAUUAAAUGAUCCAGUUUUACUGAUUAUAAGAUUAAGUUACCUUAGGGAUAACAGCGUAAUUUUUUUAGAGAGUUCAUAUCGAUAAAAAAGUUUGCGACCUCGAUGUUGGAUUAAAGAUUAUUUUAGGUGUAGAAGCUUAAUAAUUUUGGUCUGUUCGACCAUUAAAUCUUUACAUGAUCUGAGUUCAGACCGGCGUAAGCCAGGUCGGUUUCUAUCUUUAAUAAAAUAAAAUAUUUUAGUACGAAAGGACCAAAUAUUUAAUAUAAUUAUAUUUUAAUUAAUUGAAUGUUAUUAAAAUUA